GGAUGAGCCCGCGGCCUAUCAGCUUGUUGGUGGGGUAAAGGCCUACCAAGGCGAUUACGGGUAGCCGGCCUGAGAGGGCGACCGGCCACACUGGGACUGAGACACGGCCCAGACUCCUGCGGGAGGCAGCAGUGGGGAAUCUUGCGCAAUGGGCGAAAGCCUGACGCAGCGACGCCGCGUGGGGGAUGACGGCCUUCGGGUUGUAAACUCCUUUUACCACUCACGCAGGCCCGGGGUUUUCUUCGGGUUGACGGUAGGUGGGGAAUAAGGACCGGCUAACUACGUGCCAGCAGCCGCGGUAAUACGUAGGGUCCGAGCGUUGUCCGGAAUUAUUGGGCGUAAAGAGCUCGUAGGCGGCGUGUCGCGUCUGCUGUGAAAGACCGGGGCUUAACUCCGGUUUUGCAGUGGAUACGGGCAUGCUAGAGGUAGGUAGGGGAGACUGGAAUUCCUGGUGUAGCGGUGGAAUGCGCAGAUAUCAGGAGGAACACCGGUGGCGAAGGCGGGUCUCUGGGCCUUACCUGACGCUGAGGAGCGAAAGCAUGGGGAGCGAACAGGAUUAGAUACCCUGGUAGUCCAUGCCGUAAACGAUGGGCGCUAGGUGUGGGGACUUUCCACGGUUUCCGCGCCGUAGCUAACGCAUUAAGCGCCCCGCCUGGGGAGUACGGCCGCAAGGCUAAAACUCAAAGGAAUUGACG
RNAcentral lists this ribosomal RNA (695 nucleotides) under uncultured actinomycete. RNAcentral's name for it is "bacterial SSU rRNA". It matches the Rfam family "Bacterial small subunit ribosomal RNA", at positions 223 to 915 of the family's 1533-position model. The record is from RNAcentral. Lineage: Bacteria; Bacillati; Actinomycetota; Actinomycetes; Actinomycetales.